AUUGAACGCUGGCGGCAGGCCUAACACAUGCAAGUCGAGCGAGCGGCGGACGGGUGAGUAAUGUAUGGGGACUGCCCGAUAGAGGGGGAUAACUACUGGAAACGGUAGCUAAUACCGAAUACUAUCGGAUAACCCAUAUGGGAUUAGCUAGUAGGUGAGGUAAUGGCUCCCCUAGGCGACGAUCCCUAGCUGGUCUGCUAGGAUGGUCAGCCACCUUGGGACUUAGACACGGCCCAAACUCCCACGGAGGCAGCAGUGGGGAAUAUUGAACAAGGGGCGCAAGCCGGAUGCAGCCAUGCCGCGUGUAUGAAGAAGGCAUUAGGGGUGUAAAGUACUUUCAGUCGGGAGGCGUUACCGACAGAAGAAGCACCGGCUAACUCCGUGCCAGCAGCCGCGGUAAUAC
RNAcentral lists this ribosomal RNA (403 nucleotides) under uncultured bacterium. RNAcentral describes it as "partial 16S ribosomal RNA". It matches the Rfam family "Bacterial small subunit ribosomal RNA", at positions 30 to 526 of the family's 1533-position model. The record is from RNAcentral.